This is a non-coding RNA of Schizosaccharomyces pombe (fission yeast), 392 nucleotides long. Lineage: Eukaryota; Fungi; Ascomycota; Schizosaccharomycetes; Schizosaccharomycetales; Schizosaccharomycetaceae. The record is from the annotation of a GenBank genome assembly.
UAAAGAAACCUAUUAAAAGAAAAGGCUUUAAAAUCUUUACUUUCAUUUCAUUCAAGCAUCUACAAAAAAUCACCAUCACGCGCAACAUUUGAAUGCCAUUCUUUUCCAGAAAUUCCAUAAUAGUUGUUGAAGAAAUAACACUGUUAGUGUAAUAAAAUUCACUCUGUUUUUUACACUCGGCGCCUUAUGUAGCGAAUAUCUUUGAAUUAAUAAUAUCAAUCAUACUAUGUAACUGUAGUAGGUUGUUUAUCCAAAAAACAUAUGGUACGCAAAGAUAGACACUAAUUAUCAACAAUGAAUGAAUAAGAAAAGCUUUUUCAACGAAUAUUUUGAGUGAGGCAGUCAGCGUGCUCAUACUGGAUAGACCCAGAACAAGUAAGUUUACAAUAUGU